AUAACAUUCGGACCGUCGGUCUACCGAGCAAUUAUAUCCGCUUGGUCGAAGAUCUUUCUUUCGUAGU
RNAcentral lists this microRNA precursor (67 nucleotides) under Bombyx mori (domestic silkworm). Its description in RNAcentral is "mir-2774 microRNA precursor family". It matches the Rfam family "mir-2774 microRNA precursor family". The record is from Rfam by way of RNAcentral. Lineage: Eukaryota; Metazoa; Arthropoda; Insecta; Lepidoptera; Bombycidae.